GUCUGCAACUGGCGUUUUCCAAAAAAGCUCUGGCGGGGUUGUCGGUGUAUAAAAACUCAAAAAGAAAAAGGGGGGAUCUUGGCAGGAAAAGGAAGCCGGAGAAGGAGGCGAGCCGCUCGGAUUGACAGUGUUGUCAGACAGCAGUGACGAGGAAAUGUGCUGUGAAUCUGCCUUUAACGCACCUAGAACCAGGCAGCACCAUGAAAGCCGACUAUUCCGCUCGAUGAUCACUGAUGUGCUUUAUCUGGAUGAGGCAGUCAGUGGAAGAAGAGACGCCCCGCCGCUCGGGGCCCUUCAAACCUGAGCCCACACAGACCAGACCAAAGCAGGGAAGCUCCAAGCCGGCCUCUCCCCGGAUUGCCUCAGCAGGUACCUGAGAGUUUACUGGGGGCUGGCAGCGUGUUAUCAUGCCUGCCACGGGGACACCUGCCUCUGAUGCCGCCCCGGUGAUUCUAAUCUACAGGACCCUUUAAUAAAAUGAUGAUAGGCUGCGCUGCCAUCGCUGCUCUGAAUGACGGAGCAGGCGCACGUACAGGCUCCUGUUGGUGAUAUUUAUCCUGUUGUAGGGUUUUGCAUGUUCACCUCUGCUCCGUGUGCAGCGGUGGUUCGGUGCAACGUGGGGAUAUGUCUCAUCCGUGCACUACCACGUCUCAGAGCACGGGGGAAGGCCGAGGCAUCGCCAGUCUGUGAUCACCAGACUUCAGCCCUCCACUGCAGUCUUCAUCAGCCUUGAUGAUAAAUCCAUACUCUAAACUCAGCAUGUCUGACCUGCUUACAUCACAUUUCAACAAUCGCACUGGAGCAGAUGGAACCGCGACUCUGUCUCCAUAUCCAGUUCAAGGCAAAGAAAAAGGCAAAAAAGACAAAUACUGUGAAUUAUUCAAGGAGUCACACUGUCAUAUUUCAUGAUGUUGUGUCACCUUGCUGAUCGCUUUACUGUGAUUCCUGUGCUCUUUGUGGCUCCCACUAACUUUGAAAACAAAUUAUUGUCAGUGCUCAGCACAUUUACAGCUGCUGGAUACUCAAGGUACGAGGGCUUUUGUGCUAUGCUUCUUUUUUCAGGCCACUCCUACUGUAUAUGUGAUAUUAACAAAACAUGGCAAUGAUGAUAAACCACCACUUUCUUGUUAAAAUCCAGAUAAAAAAAAAUACACUAUGAACUACAACAUACAGAAAUUAUUGUUGUUUUAUAUAAUAUUUAAAAUGGCAGAAUUGUCAGUAUCCGGAAGAUUUUUACACAUUUUAGCUUUAAUAUUCUUUUAAUUUACAGGGAAAUAAUUUGAAUAAUUAAAGAGUUGAUCUAUAACCGAUAAGAGUGAAUAGAGCUUUUAAAUCUCACAACUCUUCUAAAUCCAACUGAGCAAAUGUUUUGUUGUUUGCACAGUGAAAUUAACAUAAAUUUAAUCUGCACAGCAACAUAGAAAAAUUUCCUCAGGGUCAAUAUUUUUAGAUUCAUUUGUUCUUGUUUGUAAAAUUUAAAUUUUUUUUGUCACAGAAUUCUUGGUGAAUGGGAUUUAACAGCUUUUAAUGUAUUUUUGUUCUGAGAGAACGUGGCCAGAUUUGUCUGCUUCUAUUCCCAGGCAGAAAAAAGAAGCACAACACCUGGUUAAAUAAAGUCUACACAACAAACUCAAAGAAACUGAUUUUAAAAAAUCCUCACACUCACACACACACACACAGCCCCAAACUACUUUGAGAAAUCACCUACUUUUCUGUGAACACCCUCCCCUGUUUCAUCUUACACAGAGAAGGCAGCAGCAGCGCACAGUGCACAUCCUCUACGUUUGCACACAGUUAAUUACCCAUCAUGCAUCCAUGUUGCCAGCCAUGCCAGCUAAAAGGUCCCUCAUUGCUGAUUAACAUAUUACCGCUGGACAUUUUCUCUUUUCUCCUCGCAAAAAAAUAAGCUUGUUUGGUGGUGUACCUGUGGGUUGAUUUAUUCUGGCGAUGAAGUUUGUUCACUUGAUAAUAAGAGGGACUAAACAUUUAACUUUGGUUUUUUCCUCUAUUGUUGGGAGAGACGCUGUUGUUUUUGUAUUUUUAGGGCUUUUAUUGUGAGUAGCUGAUAUAAAUUCUAUCACCAUGAUAAUACUGUGGUGUGCCAUA
Hippoglossus stenolepis (Pacific halibut) is the source of this 2106-nucleotide long non-coding RNA. RefSeq lists it as uncharacterized. The transcript is spliced from 3 exons. The record is from RefSeq and is a predicted model, not a curated record. Lineage: Eukaryota; Metazoa; Chordata; Actinopteri; Pleuronectiformes; Pleuronectidae.